This 497-nucleotide ribosomal RNA is filed under the name uncultured bacterium. RNAcentral describes it as "partial 16S ribosomal RNA". It matches the Rfam family "Bacterial small subunit ribosomal RNA", at positions 28 to 507 of the family's 1533-position model. The record is from RNAcentral.
GAGGAAAGCGGGCGGCGUGCCUAAUACAUGCAAGUCGAGCGAACAGACGAGGAGCUUGCUCCUUCGACGUUAGCGGCGGACGGGUGAGUAACACGUAGGUAACCUACCUAUAAGACUGGGAUAACUUCGGGAAACCGGAGCUAAUACCGGAUAAUAUUUCGAACCGCAUGGUUCGAUAGUGAAAGAUGGCUUUGCUAUCACUUAUAGAUGGACCUGCGCCGUAUUAGCUAGUUGGUAAGGUAACGGCUUACCAAGGCAACGAUACGUAGCCGACCUGAGAGGGUGAUCGGCCACACUGGAACUGAGACACGGUCCAGACUCCUACGGGAGGCAGCAGUAGGGAAUCUUCCGCAAUGGGCGAAAGCCUGACGGAGCAACGCCGCGUGAGUGAUGAAGGUCUUCGGAUCGUAAAACUCUGUUAUUAGGGAAGAACAAACGUGUAAGUAACUGUGCACGUCUUGACGGUACCUAAUCAGAAAGCCACGGCUAACUACGUG